UGGGGAGAAACCUCUCCCUGCGGGCUGU
Molecule: small RNA, 28 nt
Filed under: Bombyx mori (domestic silkworm)
Lineage: Eukaryota; Metazoa; Arthropoda; Insecta; Lepidoptera; Bombycidae
Description: ovarian small RNA-35039
Source: RNAcentral